GAAAUGCGAUAAGUAGUGUGAAUUGCAGAAUUCAGUGAAUCAUCGAAUCUUUGAACGCACAUUGCGCCCGCCAGUAUUCUGGCGGGCAUGCCUGUUCGAGCGUCAUUACAACCCUCAGGCCCCCGGGCCUGGCGUUGGGGAUCGGCGGAAGCCCCCUGCGGGCACAACGCCGUCCCCCAAAUACAGUGGCGGUCCCGCCGCAGCUUCCAUUGCGUAGUAGCUAACACCUCGCAACUGGAGAGCGGCGCGGCCACGCCGUAAAACACACAACUUCUGAAUGUUGACCUCGAAUCAGGUAGGAAUACCCGCUGAACUUAAGC
This 320-nucleotide unclassified non-coding RNA is filed under the name plant metagenome. RNAcentral describes it as "partial contains 5.8S ribosomal RNA, internal transcribed spacer 2, and large subunit ribosomal RNA". The stretch from base 1 to 105 matches the Rfam family "5.8S ribosomal RNA", at positions 50 to 154 of the family's 154-position model. The record is from RNAcentral.